GCGGAAUGAGAAGUUUUGCGUUUGCAGGCUCUCGUGUUCAGUUAGUGUUUAGCCAAGAUUUUAACCAAUUGCUGUGCUUUAUCCCCAGUUUAUUACUUCUUUUUGUAACUUUUUGAAACUAUUUCAGCCGUUUUUUUUGUUCUUCUUUAUUGUCUGGAGUCUAUUUACGGAAGCUAGCAUGUCCGACCGUGACUACAACCGGUCGGCUCUUCAAGAGGCCUGCGACGAGGAUGUUAUUGAGGAAAUUGAGCUGGUCGGGUCCUUCUGUUAAAGAACAGAAGGUGAAUUGGGAUCACACACCUCUUAAGAACAAAAGUAAGAAGAAACUGAAGCUUAUGGAGUCUGACGGUAAGGAGGACUCCGCUAACGCUGUUCUUCGUGCGCACCACCAGGGGAGCAGCUACUCUUGACAGUCAUGACAUGUAACAUCUGCGAAGGACACAGCUGAGCUUGAUGUGAACUAGACGCUGCCGCUCUGCGCUCCUGCUCCCCGCUGGGGCUUUCCUGUACGCUUUUGCAACGAGUCUUGUUUGAGGCC
This is a long non-coding RNA of Poeciliopsis prolifica (blackstripe livebearer), 538 nucleotides long. RefSeq lists it as uncharacterized. The record is from RefSeq and is a predicted model, not a curated record. The transcript has 3 exons. NCBI's taxonomy places the organism in Eukaryota, Metazoa, Chordata, Actinopteri, Cyprinodontiformes, Poeciliidae.